Molecule: ribosomal RNA, 159 nt
Filed under: Sinosenecio guangxiensis
Lineage: Eukaryota; Viridiplantae; Streptophyta; Magnoliopsida; Asterales; Asteraceae
Description: 5.8S ribosomal RNA
Rfam family: 5.8S ribosomal RNA
About the family: 5.8S ribosomal RNA (5.8S rRNA) is a component of the large subunit of the eukaryotic ribosome. It is transcribed by RNA polymerase I as part of the 45S precursor that also contains 18S and 28S rRNA. Functionally, it is thought that 5.8S rRNA may be involved in ribosome translocation.
Source: RNAcentral
GACUCUCGGCAACGGAUAUCUCGGCUCACGCAUCGAUGAAGAACGUAGCAAAAUGCGAUACUUGGUGUGAAUUGCAGAAUCCCGUGAACCAUCGAGUUUUUGAACGCAAGUUGCGCCCGAAGCCUUUCGGUCGAGGGCACGUCUGCCUGGGUGUCACAC